This 497-nucleotide ribosomal RNA is filed under the name uncultured bacterium. RNAcentral describes it as "partial 16S ribosomal RNA". It matches the Rfam family "Bacterial small subunit ribosomal RNA", at positions 28 to 507 of the family's 1533-position model. The record is from RNAcentral.
GAUGAACGCUGGCGGCGUGCCUAAUACAUGCAAGUCGAGCGAACAGACGAGGAGCUUGCUCCUCUGACGUUAGCGGCGGACGGGUGAGUAACACGUGGAUAACCUACCUAUAAGACUGGGAUAACUUCGGGAAACCGGAGCUAAUACCGGAUAAUAUAUUGAACCGCAUGGUUCAAUAGUGAAAGACGGUUUUGCUGUCACUUAUAGAUGGAUCCGCGCCGCAUUAGCUAGUUGGUAAGGUAACGGCUUACCAAGGCAACGAUGCGUAGCCGACCUGAGAGGGGGUUCGGCCACACUGGAACUGGGACACGGUCCAGACUCCUACGGGAGGCAGCAGUAGGGAAUCUUCGGCAAUGGGCGAAAGCCUGACGGAGCAACGCCGCGUGAGUGAUGAAGGUCUUCGGAUCGUAAAACUCUGUUAUUAGGGAAGAACAAAUGUGUAAGUAAAUGUGCACGUAUUGACGGUACCUAAUCAGAAAGCCACGGCUAACUACGUG